This 7683-nucleotide long non-coding RNA is filed under the name Ananas comosus (pineapple). RNAcentral's name for it is "long non-coding RNA (ACOM_LNC002229)". Lineage: Eukaryota; Viridiplantae; Streptophyta; Magnoliopsida; Poales; Bromeliaceae. The record is from RNAcentral.
GUUGGUUGUUAGACCAGUUAGAGUCGGUUACUUGACUUUGACUUUUCAGAGCCUGUUUGAGCUCGACAGAGAUACGCUGCAUACUCGGUUGGGUAGCGCCCACGAGUGCCACUCCGGAGACGGGCUUUGUGCUUUUGCGUUGGUGUCGCUCAUGCUGGUUGGACUUGCUCUCCACGGACCAGUUAGUGUGGAGGUAGCUGGAUAGUCGUAACUGGGCAGGGACGGGUGUAUUCACAGUCCCCGGGACGGGUAUGUUUACAGUCCCGAUUGGAUUGGGUCAGUUUUGACAUUUCCUACAGUUGGUUAGCUUAGAGCAGGAUGGUGUAGUGACUAGUAGCUGUAGAGUUCAUUCCAGCAUUUUUACUUUUACCAUUGCUCCUUUCUGUAGACUUAAUGGGUGGACCGAUGUUGUUUUGGGCGGCACCCACUGAGGACUACUUGUUUUUACAGUAGUUCUCACGCCCUGUUGUUACCCCUGUUUUGCAGAGCCACAGGUUUCGGCUGCUGCGCCUUCCGCGGAUCAGGAUCGAGGCAAGGGCGUCGCGAGUUAGAGCCCUACCCGCCGAGCAGAGCUAGAGGCACCCUACUGCUGGUAGUUGUUUUAUUUCGAGCUUAUGUACAUGGUACUUAACUCGCCAGUACGAGUAACUCUGUAUUUUGAUUUUUGAACUAUGUAUAUGAAGCUCAGUUUGUUUAGCUCUUGCUAUUCUAGUAGCUCUCUACUACUGUUCGUAGUAGUGUAUGAUUUAUAGGUACAACAAUCGCUUCGUAUAUAGAGGAAACUCCUUUGUAUACGGCGGGUUUGUCGGCGUGCCCGGGGAACGAGACAUCCGUGGCGUGACAGAUUAAGUUGGUAUCAGAGCUUAGUAUUAGGUCGUUGGGACCUAGAAAACCUAAGUUUGGCAAAUCUUAGGAAAGUAAGACGCGAGAGGCGUAAUUUAAUUCCGAAAAUCAAUGAUUAGUUGUUCUAACUCCUCCAAGAGUGGGGUGAGUGACUGAAGGAGUUCCUGUUUUGGCCUGAGAAAUUAUGUUGGCUGCAGACGUCAUAAUUUUGGAGAAAAACAGGGACCGCCUUCAAGACUUUCGUUGAUUGGGUCGAGAGUGUUUGUGUUUUAUCUGACCUUGAUUUGUUUCUUGCAGCUAUCUAUCGUCGCCGAGGUCGACCGUCGUUACGGGAGCGUGCCCAGUUGACGCAGGAUCAUGCUAGAUCUUCCGAGAUGCCUGAGCAGGCAGAGCCGACUGCAUCACUAGAGGUGCGGGCACCCCUAGUUGUUGAGCAGAGAGCCCGACCCGAGGCGAGUGCGUCCCCGGAGUUGAGUGCACAGUUAGUCGCGCUGACAGAGGUGACGAGGCGGCAGGGGGAGUUGUUGGAGAGGCUGUGCGAGAGGAUAGCUCCGUCACCGAGUACAGUACCGAGAGCACCAGAGCAGGCCAUUCCGCCUCCGACUACUCCAGCAUCAGCACCAGCCGCAGCUAUGCCCCCACCAGUGGAGCUUCCUGCAGCGCAAGUUGCGCCUGCUAGGGGGCUGGUACAGUUGACAGAGGCCGAGCAGGAGCGGUGGACAGAGAGGUUGGCUCGUUUCCGCCUUUUCACUGAGGCCUGCGUUGUUGAUGGCAGUUGCACUGAGGCCUGCGUUGUUGAGGGAUGGAUCAGUGCGAUGGAGAAGUUAUUUGAGGAUCUGUUCAUUCUUGAGGCGGAGCAGGUGUCUUUGGGAGUCCAUUGCUUGGCAGGUGAUGCCCACGUCUGGUGGAGGAGAGUGAGGAGAGAGCAGGGACUGGUGGCACUGCAGCUGAGAUGGGAUGAGUUCUGUGGAAUGCUGUUUGGGAUGUUCUUUCCCAACAGUGUGAAGCAGAAGCUUGAGGAGGAUUUGAGGAGGCUUCGGCAGGGAGAUCGUCCAGUGCAGGAGUACAUUCGGGAGUUUACUCGACUCCUGAACUGUGUGCCAUUUGUGGCUAGAGACGAGGCACACAGAGUGUACAUGUUUGAGCAGGGGCUGAGACCAGACAUUUUCAGGAUGGUGCGGGCGCAGAGGUCGAGGACCUUGGAUGCGUUCAUAGAGCAGGCUUUGUGGGUAGAGAGAGGUGAGGUGUCGCUUCAGGAGAGGACUCAGGCCGUGGGGCAGGGUCAGGACAGGAAGCGCCCAUUUCCAGAUGACGGAGGACAGUCGAGCAGCAGACGUCCGCCGAGGCCUCCACGAUCACGCUCUCAGGGUCGUGGGCCUUCGGGACGUCAGCGUACCAGGGGAUCCCGUCAGCAGGGACAGACCCAGAGGACACCGCAGUGUGUGAUCUGCGGGGGACCACACUGGCCCCGGCAGUGCGAACAGAGAGAGGGCAGGUGUUAUGUUUGUGGUCAGCCUGGACACAUGAGGGCAGCUUGUCCCCGAGCAGCAUCUCCAGCACCAUCAUUAGCUUCAGCACCACAAGCACCUUAGCAGUCUUACGGAGCAGCGCCGAGUUACCGCCAGGAGGAUAGAUCGUCUGUGCCGCAGUCGAGUGAGCGGCGACAGCAGGCCCCGAGUGGCAGAGUUUAUGCAGCUCAGGUGGAGGACUCUACGGCAGCCGACCGAGUGGUGGCAGGUAUUACUUUGAUUUCUGGCAUUAGAGUUCGCACUCUUUUUGAUACCGGUGCAUCGCAUUCGUUUGUUAGCCGAGCAUUUGCACAGUUACACGGUCUAGAGUUAGGAGCGUUGUCUCAGGCACGAGAGGUACAGAUCCCAGACUAUGUGUUAUAGGUUGCAGAGUGUUGUUGGUCGUGUCCGGUGCAGUUUGAUUCUUGGAUCAUGCCCGCAGACCUGUUGGUGUUAGGGCAGCUGCAGGACUUCGACGUUGUGCUCGGUAUGGAUUGGCUGGCGCGGUACUAUGCUAUGAUAGACUGUGGAGUGAGGACUGUGACGUUUCGCGAGUCAGGCCAGGAGGAGUUUACUUUCAGAGGCUGUAGGAGCACACUGUUUGCCACCUGGAUAUCUUCGGCGAGGGCUCGACAAAUGCUGAGUAGUGGGUGUAUCGCUUUCCUAGUGACAGUUGUGGAGGUACCUACGGCGGCGCCGGGACUCGAGGAUAUCCUAGUAGUCCGCGAGUUUCCGGAUGUGUUUUCCCCUGAGUUGACGACGUUGCCGCCGGAGAGGGAGAUUGAGUUUGUGAUUAAUGUAGUUCCUGAAACUGCACCAAUCUCAAAGGUACCUUAUCGGAUGGCGCCGGCAGAGCUGAGGGAGCUAAAGGCGCAGCUGCAGGAUUUGAUGGAUAGAGGGUUUAUGAGACCCAGUGUUUCGCCUUGGGGAGCGCCAGUGUUGUUUGUGAAGAAGAAUGAUGGUUCACUUAGGCUGUGUGUGGAUUACCGGGAGCUGAAUAAAGUGACCAUCACGAAUAAGUAUCCCUUGCCUCGUAUUGAUGAUUUGUUUGAUUAGCUGCAGGGAUCUUAUGUCUUUUCGAAGAUUGAUCUCCAGUCAGGUUACCACCAGUUGAGGGUGAGGGCAGAGGAUGUUCCCAAGACGACUUUUCGGACUCGGUACGUGCAUUAUGAGUUCACAGUGAUGCCUUUUGGAUUGACGAAUGUCCUUACCGCAUUCAUGGAUUUGAUGAACAGAGUGUUCAAGCCGUUCUUGGAUAGAUUUGUGGUAGUCUUCAUCGACGAUAUCCUGAUUUACUCCCGGAGUGAUGUUGAGCAUGAGGAGCACUUGAGGACUAUGCUACAGCUUCUGCAAGAGAAGAAGUUGUAUGCCAAGUUGAAGAAGUGCGAGUUCUGGUUACAGGAGGUCGCUUUCUUGGGCCACGUGAUAUCGGCAGAGGGAGUAGCAGUCGACCCGAAGAAGAUUGAUGCGAUUCGGGAAUGGCCCAGACCGACGACGGUGACAGAGGUGCAGAGUUUCUUUGGACUAGCAGGAUAUUACCGUCGGUUUGUGGAAGACUUUGCGAAGCUUUCCACACCCCUCACACGCUUGACGCGGAAGGGGAUUCGUUUUGUCUGGAGCAACGACUGUCAGAGGAGCUUUGAUGAGUUGAGAUUGAGGUUGACGUCAGCUCCUAUUCUUGCCCUUCCUGUUAUGGGCGAAGGAUUCGUGAUCUACAAUGAUGCAUCGCACAAUGGACUUGGUUGCGUGUUGAUCCAGCAUGGUAGGGUAAUUGCUUAUACUUCACGGCAGUUAAAGGAUUAUGAGAAGAAUUACCCUACGCAUGACUUAGAGCUUGCCGCGGUGGUUUUUGCUUUGAAGCUUUGGCCGCACUACUUGUACGGCGAGCACUACGAGGUUUUCACCGAUCAUAAAAGUCUCAAGUAUCUGUUCACACAGAGGGAGCUGAACCUGAGGCAGCGCCGGUGGUUGGAGUUACUGAAGGACUAUGACAUUAGUAUUCAGUAUCAUCCCGGCAGGGUGAAUGUGGUGGCAGAUGCGUUGAGCAAGAAAGCAGUGCAGAGCCUGAGUUUGACGAUCACUGAGCAGAGACCCCUACUCGAGGAGCUGUAGCGGCUGGGACUAGAGAUAAUACCCCCUGGUUCUACGGCGAGGCUGACAUCUCUAGUUUUGCAGCCCACUCUGUUGGAUAUGAUCCGAGAGAAAAAGAGUGGAGAUCCGUACUUGUUGAGGAUUAGAGAGCAGCUAGACAGGGGGCAGGCUGAGGGUUUUGCUUUAGACAGUUCGGGAGUAUUACGGUACAGGGACCGACUGUGUGUGCUUGUGGAUUCAGAGAUCCGAGCAGACAUUCUGAGAGAGGCUCAUUGUUCUCCUUAUACGGUUCACCCUGGAGGAACCAAAAUGUGUAAGGAUUUAAAGGCACAGUUCUCGUGGCCUGGAAUGAAGAGAGACAUUGGCAGAUAUGUGGCUCAAUGUUUGACUUGUCAACAGGUAAAAGCUGAGCAUCAAGUGCCUGCUUGCAAGCUUCAGAGUCUGCCAGUGCCAGAGUGGAAGUGGGAGUACAUCACGAUGGACUUCGUCGUUGGAUUGCCUAGAGCACAGGGUGGCUAUGAUGCUAUUUGGGUUAUAGUGGACAGACUGACCAAGUCUGCUCACUUCCUACCGGUUCAGACUACUUGGUCCAGAGAGAGACUCGCGCAGCUAUACUUGGAUGAGAUCGUCAGGCUGCACGGCAUGCCAGUAUCGAUCGUAUCAGACCGAUACCAGAGGUUUGUGUCGCAUUUUUGGAGGAGUUUACAGACAGCUUUGGGGACUCAGUUACAUUUCAGCACUGCUUUUCUCCAACAGACAGAUGAUUAGUCAGAGCGGACCAUUUAGACUCUAGAGGACAUGCUGAAGGCAUGCGUCCUGAACUUUGGAGGAGGGUGGCAUCGACAUUUGAGACUAGCAGAGUUUGCGUACAACAACAGCUAUCAAACGAGCAUUCAGAUGGCUCCGUUUGAAGCAUUGUAUGGACGCAAGUGUCGAUCCCCGUUGUUUUGAAGCGAUGUGGGUGAGAGGAGGACACUUGGGCCUGAGUUGUUGCUAGAGGCUGAGGAGAAGGUGAGAGUUGUUCGACGACACCUUCUGACAGCCCAGAGCCGACAGAGGAGCUACGCCGAUACCAGGAGACGAGACUUGGAGUUCCAGGUUGGAGAUCAUGUGUUCCUUAAAGUCUCGCCGUCCAGAGGGAUACACCGAUUUGGAGUACGUAGAAAGCUCAGUCCACAUUUUGUUGGCCCAUUCGAGGUAUUGGAGCGAGUCGGACCGGUGGCAUACAGGAUAGCUCUACCCCUGCGACUUGCGGGCAUCCACGAUGUUUUCCACGUCUCAGCUUUGAGGAGAUAUGUUUUCGAUCCUUCUCACAUGAUUGACUUCACUCCACUCGAGAUUGGCGAGAAUCUGAGAUAUGAGGAGCGACCGUUGCGGAUUCUUGCUCGGGAGACGAAAGAAUUGCGCAACCGGGUCAUUCUGUAUGUGAAAGUGCAGUGGAGCAAUCACGAGGAGCGGGAGGCGACUUGGGAGCCUGAGACGGUGAUGAGGGAGGCCUAUCCCUAUUUGUUUGAUGCCUAAGCAUAGGUACGUUUCAGUUUCGCGGACGAAACUUUUUGUAGAGGGGGAGGAUGUGAGAUCCCUGGUGUACAGCUGUGGAGGCUUGUCAGCAGCUCUGGAGAGUGUCGGGACAAGUCCGAGUCGCGUUGGCGUCAAAUAGACGCAAAACGGACUCCGUGCGACGCGAGGGCAGCUUAUAGCGAAGAAAUCUACAAAACAGCAGAUUUCUCUGCUUGCUGUACCGGUACAACUAGCGUGGCUGUAUCGGUACAACCAGCUGCUCUCGGGUUGGCCCUUGUACCGGUAAAGUAGCCCGUGUACAGGUACAAGAGGGUAGGUAUUUAUCCCUCGUUUGUAUCACCGACUCUCCCUCUCUCUAUAUAGGAUGGUGUUGAGCUGAGAGAGAGAGACUUCUUGCUUCUUCUCUUCUCUCUCUAGGCUCGUUUGAGGAAAAAGCUCGGUUGGAAGGUUUGUCGCCGACGUCGCGCCGCGGGACCGUUCGAGCACACUUUUGACGUCGGGGUAGCACGAGGAGGCCGCGCGAGCGUGGGUUUUCACCGUUCUUGCUGUCGCAUCAGGACUUGGCGUUGUCGAGGUGGGUAAUUUAGCAUUUCCAUUUGUUUUUGGGCAAGUUCUUAUACUUCGAAUUCAAGUGAUGCUGUUUUGCUGAAAUUCAUCGUCGACUGUUAGUAUUUCAGCUCGUGCUCGACGCUGGAGCAUCGGAUUUCAACGAGACUUUGUUUGCUGGAUUCAGGAUUUUGAGAGGAAUCCACGAAGUCCUUAUUUGCGGGAUUUGGUAAAGGUUAGCUUGGUCGAAGCUCCAUUUUACUCUGCUGUUGUGAAUUUUGGACUGAAUUGAGGAUUUUCGAUGUUUAUAGUUGGAAAUAGCUUGAUUUCGGGACUUGGACUUUCUCAGUCGAUCUAGCAGGUUGUUCCGCAGCCGAGGGAGUUCCGUGUUGCCAGGGAUUAGCGACCGAGGUGGGUUACAUCGGUUUUGACUUCUAAGUUCUAAUCGUCGACAUGUAUAAAUUUCGAUUUUUGGUAUAAUCUAUUCUAGCUCGAAUUCAUGGAUUAUAUUAUAGAUUGCAAAUCUGAAUUAGGAGCAUGUGGUAUUAAAUUGAGUAAUUUAUACAUGUUGGACUUGGAAUUGGAAUUAGGAGAAAACCUACGAUUUGGACCUGUCACUUGUUUAAACUGCCUGAUUUAGCUCUAGGAGCCGUUAUAAAAUUGUACUGUCGCAGUAUCCUCGAGACGAGUACUCCAGAUAGUUUAGCAUACAUUUACACUCGUGCUGGUACGCCGAGUGGAUUUUUACAGGAUCGUUUGGGCUGUUCCGAACUAUUGGGUGCCGUCAGGUUGACGGUGGACCCGAAUCGCCUUUUUGGCGACAGAUUGUGCCAAGGGCACAUGAACGGUUGGUUGUUAGACCAGUUAGAGUCGGUUACUUGACUUAGGCUUUUCAGAGCCUGUUUGAGCUCGACAGAGAUAUGCUGCAUACUCGGUUGGGUAGCGCCCACGAGUGCCAAUCCGGAGACGGGCUUUGUGCUUUUGCGUUGGUGUCGCUCAUGCCGGUUGGACUUGCUCUCCACGGACCAGUUAGUGUGGAGGUAGCUGGAUAGUCGCAACUGGGCAGGGACGGGUGUAUUCACAGUCCCCGGGACGGGUAUGUUUACAGUCCCGAUUGGAUUGGGUCAGUUUUGACAUUUCCUACAGUUGGUUAGCUUAGAGCAGGAUGGUGUAG